RNAcentral lists this unclassified non-coding RNA (908 nucleotides) under Hevea brasiliensis (rubber tree). Lineage: Eukaryota; Viridiplantae; Streptophyta; Magnoliopsida; Malpighiales; Euphorbiaceae. The record is from RNAcentral.
GCCAACAGAUCUGCUUGAUAUUCUUCAAUAAGCCUAAGAUUUUCUAAAUCAAGCUCAGCAACAAGACCAGUUCUGGCAAAACCUUUUAAUUUGCGUAGAGCUUUCCCAAAUUCAUUCAGCUCUUUUACCACAGCUGUCAUUGCAAUUAAAUAGCUGUAUAACUCCGGCUUCAACCCAGAAUCCCGAAUGUCAAUAACUAGUUUGACUGCAUCCUUGUAAUUACCCUCCUCCAUCAUCUUCCAAGCAAGAUAACCAGCAGGACCUGCCUUAUGCCCAUCUACAUUACCAUCUGAGUAAGCAAUCUGCCUCCUCAACACCUCCUUCACGAAAGACACAGCUCCCUCCCUCUCACCUGCGUCCCAAUACAAAGAUAUAACCUUUUCAACCAUACUAAAACUCGGGUUCAAUCCAACACAGUCCAUAUCAACCAACAAGUCCACUACAUCCCCAGCUUCACUCUUAGACCCAAUCAACUUCUGCACCCAUCCACACAUUAUCGAAACCAUAAGCUCCAUCGUCUCCUUAUCGACUCUAUUCUCUUUCCUUAACCACUCAAACACCUCCAACGCACACCACGAAUCCCUCCCUUCCUGCGCAAAAUACACCAACACCAACUGCAAUUCUCUAUCAGAUAACCUCUCAUUCAUUUCCUCAAGUACAUCUGAUGGCUCUCUCGUCAUUCUUUCUAAUUCCUCAAUCGCCUCGAAAAAACAAUCACUCAUCUCAUUCUUCUCCUCACCAUCACUCGUCACAAAACUACCCAAUUCGACCGAACUAAACAACUUAAACCCAUUCCUCCUCGGACUAACAAAACUAGGGUUUCGACUACUACAACCCACCCCACCCAAAACCAAGCUACUCCUCCAUUUCAACCAAGUUUGAGGGAUACCCAAACGACAUCGUUUAGG